CCUACGGGAGGCAGCAGUGGGGAAUCUUGCGCAAUGGCCUAACGGCUGACGCAGCGACGCCGCGUGUGGGAUGAAGCUCUUCGGAGUGUAAACCACUGUUGCCCGGGACGAAUAGCUCGAUUAAUCGAGCCUGACGGUACCGGGUGAGGAAGCACCGGCUAACUCCGUGCCAGCAGCCGCGGUAAUACGGGGGGUGCAAGCGUUGUCCGGAAUCACUGGGCGUAAAGGGCGCGUAGGUGGUCUGAUAAGGGUGUGGUGAAAGUCCGGGGCUCAACCCCGGAUCUGCCGUGCCGACUGUCAGACUCGAGGACUGUAGAGGCAGACGGAAUUCCGGGUGUAGCGGUGGAAUGCGUAGAGAUCCGGAGGAAGACCGGUGGCGAAGGCGGUCUGCUGGGCAGCUUCUGACACUGAGGCGCGACAGCGUGGGGAGCAAACAGGAUUAGAUACCCUGGUAGUCCACGCCGUAAACGAUGGGUACUAGGUGCCUGGGGGAGCGACCCUCUGGGUGCCGGCGCUAACGCAGGAAGUACCCCGCCUGGGGAGUACGACCGCAAGGUUGAAACUCAAAGGAAUUGACGG
RNAcentral lists this ribosomal RNA (579 nucleotides) under uncultured bacterium. Its description in RNAcentral is "bacterial SSU rRNA". It matches the Rfam family "Bacterial small subunit ribosomal RNA", at positions 338 to 916 of the family's 1533-position model. The record is from RNAcentral.